RNAcentral lists this RNase P RNA (357 nucleotides) under Oceanospirillaceae bacterium. Its description in RNAcentral is "RNase P RNA component class A". It matches the Rfam family "Bacterial RNase P class A". From Rfam's summary of the family: Ribonuclease P (RNase P) is a ubiquitous endoribonuclease, found in archaea, bacteria and eukarya as well as chloroplasts and mitochondria. Its best characterised activity is the generation of mature 5'-ends of tRNAs by cleaving the 5'-leader elements of precursor-tRNAs. The record is from RNAcentral. Lineage: Bacteria; Pseudomonadati; Pseudomonadota; Gammaproteobacteria; Oceanospirillales; Oceanospirillaceae.
GAAGUUGGCCAGACAGUCGCUGCCUGAGUAAUCAGGGGGAGGAAAGUCCGGGCUUCAAAGGGCAGGGUGCCAGGUAACUCCUGGGGGGCGUGAGCCCACGACCAGUGCAGCAGAGAGUAAACCGCCGAUGGCCACAUUCGUGUGGAACAGGUAAGGGUGAAAGGGUGCGGUAAGAGCGCACCGCGCGGCUGGCAACAGUUCGUGGCACGGUAAACUCCACUCGAAGCAAGACCAAAUAGGUUCCCUACAGGCGUGGCCCGCGCUGGGAACGGGUAGGUCGCUUGAGCCAGUGAGCAAUUGCUGGCCUAGACGAAUGACUGUCCAAGACAGAACCCGGCUUACCGGCCGACUUCAACA